This 493-nucleotide ribosomal RNA is filed under the name uncultured bacterium. Its description in RNAcentral is "partial 16S ribosomal RNA". It matches the Rfam family "Bacterial small subunit ribosomal RNA", at positions 30 to 523 of the family's 1533-position model. The record is from RNAcentral.
AUUGAACGCUGGCGGCAUGCCUUACACAUGCAAGUCGAACGGUAACAGGUUAAGCUGACGAGUGGCGAACGGGUGAGUAAUGUAUCGGAGCGUGCCUAGUAGUGGGGGAUAACUACUCGAAAGAGUGGCUAAUACCGCAUGAGAUCUACGGAUGAAAGCAGGGGAUCGCAAGACCUUGUGCUACUAGAGCGGCCGAUGGCAGAUUGGGUAGUUGGUGGGAUAAAAGCUUACCAAGCCGACGAUCUGUAGCUGGUCUGAGAGGACGAUCAGCCACACUGGGACUGAGACACGGCCCAGACUCCUACGGGAGGCAGCAGUGGGAAAUUUUGGACAAUGGGCGAAAGCCUGAUCCAGCAAUGCCGCGUGCAGGAUGAAGGCCUUCGGGUUGUAAACUGCUUUUGUACGGAACGAAAAGCCCUGGGUUAAUACCCUGGGGUCAUGACGGUACCGUAAGAAUAAGCACCGGCUAACUACGUGCCAGCCGCCGCCGUAA